This 4141-nucleotide unclassified non-coding RNA is filed under the name Leishmania donovani. RNAcentral describes it as "gene:LdHU3.31.5160(CDS-product:hypothetical_prote in_conserved)". Lineage: Eukaryota; Euglenozoa; Kinetoplastea; Trypanosomatida; Trypanosomatidae. The record is from RNAcentral.
GCGUGCCGUACGCACCAUUGAACACCGUCACUCUUCGUUCACUUCUACUCAGUGUGGCACAUCGCACGGGGUGGGGAAGGGAGUCAUCAUGACGGACGGGGUGUGGCGCAGCUUCCGUUUCUUCGACAGCGAAGCCCUUGCGGCCGCCUCCUCCUUAGCGGAGCUCAACGUCGUGUGCUCAUGCCUGACCCCCACCUCGCUCGUUGUGGGCGACUGCGAAGGUCAAGUGCUCUUCCUCGAACGCCAUCCCGCGUCGACGGCCGCCUCACCGGGGGGCAGGUGGUGUUUUCAGGCCUACGCGGGCCCAGUCACACACAUCCGAUACUGCGCACUGCGCAACACCCUCAUCACGAUCGGCAAUGACGAUGCGGUUCACAACACGAUUUUGAGAGUCUGGGACCUUGACCAGCUCGUGGCCCUGUACCGAGGCCUUCUGGGCCUUAGCCCAGCCGAUGUCUCGACUUCCGUUCCGGGGGCAUCAGCAGCGGAUGCCCCGCUCCGGUGGAGACCGCCCUGCCAAGAGCACCGCAUUCUACCCGCUAGCAAAGGCGCGAGCGGCGGCGCUUCGAGUGCGCAUGCCUCAUGCGAAGAGGCCCCUCUAGUGACAAUUCUGCUGGAUGAGUCGAAACAGAUGCAGUGCCACUUCAAGCCAUCCUGCACGACUGCAGGCACGCUUUCUCCAUCUCCCACCGGCAACUCCACUGCCAAGGGGUUCUCGUCGCAUGCAGGGGAGGCUGGCAGCACCGGCGUCGUCUCAUGCGGCUCCAUCCGCUCUGCUGUCGUGAGCUUCGAUGUGGUGCCAGAUCUCUCGUGCGCCGCUGUCGGGCUCGUCACGCGGGACUGUGUAGUGCUGCAGGGGGAUCUGGCGAAGGAGCGGUCGGUUCGAGUGCUGACGAUCCGCAGCGGCCUCGCCAAAGGCGCUCUCACGUUUGUCGGACUCCCCAGCAUGCAGCUCGCGACGUUGUGGGAGACCAAAGGCGGUGGCCAUGCGAGCGACAUCAGCGGCGGAGGCACCAGCGCCUUCUCUUUUCUGACAGACAGCGCCCGCGCGCUGACAAGGUCGGCGAGUGCAUCGAAGGUCGACUGUAGCGGUGAUGCGGUGACAGCGGCGGGGGUUCAGGUGCUGUACACGGUCUACGAGGACGUAGUUACGUGCUGGGCGUUGCGAGCCAACGGCAACUGGUCCGAAUACCCCUGCCCCACCUCCAGCGGUGGUGCUCCGCGUUUUGGAGCGGCUCUGACGUCGCGUGGCGAGCUGCUCGUGCUGUGCAAGCAGGCCGCAUCACACGCGACAACUGGCAGCCGUGUUGUGCGGCUCGGCCCCGCUGAUCCAGCCCCCAGCAUCCCCGUGCCGUACGACCCGACGAUGAAGUCAUGUGUGCAUCCCAUCCACGUCGACCACGUGCCGGGACGCUGCUUCCUCUACACGCACCGUCAGUACCUCGUGCUGCUGGUGCAGCACGACGGAAGGCCAGAGCAGUUUCAGCUGCAGUGCCUUGACCUCGCCUAUCGCAUCCGUGGACUGAGUCGCCCGCAGGAGACGUACACAAACUGCGCCAUGCUGCUGGCGGACGAAACAGACAUGCUGGUGCUGUUUCUCGACCCGGCUGUGCGCACACGGCAGCUCGCGUUGCGAGGUGUGCGACUACGCGAGGCAGACACGCAGACCAAGCUGGAGCUUCUCUUCAGCAAGGAAUGCUACGGCAUUGCGCAGCAGCUGGCGCAGACGAUGGAAGGGGCCGACCCGACACUGCAGCUACGCAUCCGCAAGCGCUACGGCGACUACCUCUAUGGCAAACGCAAGUUUGAUGAGGCCAUGGCCCAGUACGUGGGCACGAUCGGGCAUCUGGAGUCGUCCUACGUCAUACAGCGGUACAUGGGCAGCGCACACAUGGAGCAGCUCAUCCGCUACUUGGAGGAGCUGCACAACGAGAAGCAGAGCGCCCACACCAACGUGGCUCACACAACGCUGUUGCUCAAGUGCUACAUCAAGCGCAAGGACGAAGCUCGGCUCAAGGCGUUUAUCCACCGUGACGACGUGCGGUUUGAUGCGAAGAACGCGAUCGAGGUGUGCCGAGAGGGCGGAUACGCCGCGGCGGCGCUGCACAUUGCCGAUCGCUACGCCGCCGUGUACGACUGCGCACGCAUUCGCUUGUACGACAUGCAAGAACCCCUCGAGACGCUGUCGUACGUCCGCACGCUGGGGAUCGAUGAGGCGGAGCCGAUUUGCUCGCAGCUCGGCAAGGACCUUCUUCUUGCGGCGCCUCGCGCCACGACAGAGCUGCUGAUAGAGCUGUGCGUGCACUGGAAGGGGCCGGGACGGCGCCUAGUGAACGUGCCCGCUCUCCCUGCGCUUGCGCCUGACGCUGCUCGUUUUCCCACUUGCACGGGAGAUGCGAUAGGAGGCGGGCCGCGGCACCCCCACCACGCGAACGCGUCUGCAUUCCUGCACAUCUUCGUCGACGCACCGGUGUGUCUCAUGAACUUCCUUCGCGCGGUGGUGGAGAGUGGUGUGCUGAAUGAGGAUGCCGCGACACCCGCGCCGAUGCAGAUGGCUGUGGAAGGCAACGCAGCCACGCCAUCGUCACCUGCACCGCACUCUCCCACAGUGACAUCGGGCCCGCAUGCAGUGCUCUACAACACGCUGUUGGAGCUUUACAUGACUCGUGAACUGAAGAGCACGCUUCGACUGGUGCCCCAGACAACAGCAGCAACGGCCGGUGCAGUCUCGAGCGCUGACGCGACGGCCGAGUUCCCAUUGGAGCCGUACAAGCGACGGCUGGAGCAGGCGCGGACGUUUCUGGAGGCGUACAAGGGUCGGUACGACCACUACCUCGCGCUGAAUCUGGCCCAUCAGCACGGUUUCGAGGACGGCAUCCUGUACCUCCUCCGCCUCCUCGGGCUCUCAGAGGAGAUCCUCGGCUACUACGGCGCCAAGCUGAACGACUCCAACUCCACCCCGGCCGAGAGGCACGAGGCGACCGCGAAACUCUUUCAGGCGUGCCAGGACAGUCCGGCAUCCGACAGCAGCACGACCACCAUGUGGAUGACUCUGCUGUCGCAGCUCAUGCGCACCGCAAAGACGGAAUCGCUCGACAUUGUGAAGGUGCUGGACUACAUCGAGGCCCACGACGCGCUAUCGCCGGUGGUGGUGCUGCAGAUACUGAGCAGUGGCCCUGAGAGUACUCUGGAUCUGCGCACCGUGCGGAAUUACUGCCAGCGGUGUCUGCUGAAGCAGACGCAGCAGUUGCAGGAGGUGCUGGCGCAGACGUCGCAGCGACUCGGCGAGAUGGAGCGUAUCAAGAAGGAGGUCGUCGCUCUGCAGACCUCGGCUGUCGUCUUCCAGGCCACCACGUGCGCACACUGCCAUCAGGUGCUUGACACUCCGACGGUGUACUUUAUGUGCAGGCACGCCUUCCAUCACCGCUGCCUCUACACAGCGGCAGAGUGCAACGUAUGCGCGGCGGCCCAUCGCCGGCAGCUCGACACCACCCGAGAGGCGGCGCAGCACGACCUGCCGCUGCAGAACCCGAGCAACUUUGCAGCGCAGCUCUUUCAGGACGUGAAGUGCGGCCGCGACGCGACGGACGAAGUGGCGGGUGCAGGUGCAGGUCGGAACGGGAGCACCCCACAGGAUGGCUUUCGCGUGGUGGCGGACUACGUUGCCCGCGGUGCCCUCGGUGCGCCGCCGCCGUACAAAGACGCGGGCCCCUUCGGCUGCCAAUCGCCAACAGUGCCGCACCACCCCAGCGGAAGUCAUCAACGUGGGGCGGCGGGCGUGGCUGGCGCGGACGACCUCGACACUUGGUAGACGGCGGCAUGGGUGCAUGUGUCGGAUAUGGACCCUCAUGCAGGUCUAAGCGAGAUGACGAGAGAAAUGCCAUCGCCGCACCAAGAGGUGGAUGAGGUGCCACGGGCGCUGAAGAAGGACGCGGUAAGCGCAAGAGGUGAGCCGUCACGGCGGUACAGAAAAAUGCGCGGGCUGGACCCCUCCCCCUCUCUCCUUCAGCUGCUGUUCUGCGCGGACGUUGGCGGGCUCUUUCUUGCGCUCCUUCCGUGCUCUCGUCUUUCCACAACCUCUAUUGGUGCGACACUCCUCCUGGCCUCUUCACGCAUCUUCUUGCCCCGUUCUCUCACGCAG